CGUCUGGAAAGGCGCGCGAUACAGGGUGACAGCCCCGUACACAAAAGCGCAUGUGCUGUGAGCUCGAUGAGUAGGGCGGGACACGUGGUAUCCUGUCUGAAUAUGGGGGGACCAUCCUCCAAGGCUAAAUACUCCUGACUGACCGAUAGUGAACCAGUACCGUGAGGGAAAGGCGAAAAGAACCCCGGCGAGGGGAGUGAAAAAGAACCUGAAACCGUGUACGUACAAGCAGUGGGAGCACAGGUUUACCUGUGUGACUGCGUACCUUUUGUAUAAUGGGUCAGCGACUUAUAUUCUGUAGCAAGGUUAACCGUAUAGGGGAGCCGAAGGGAAACCGAGUCUUAACCGGGCGUUAAGUUGCAGGGUAUAGACCCGAAACCCGGUGAUCUAGCCAUGGGCAGGUUGAAGGUUGGGUAACACUAACUGGAGGACCGAACCGACUAAUGUUGAAAAAUUAGCGGAUGACCUGUGGCUGGGGGUGAAAGGCCAAUCAAACCGGGAGAUAGCUGGUUCUCCCCGAAAGCUAUUUAGGUAGCGCCUCGUGAAUUCAUCUCCGGGGGUAGAGCACUGUUUCGGCUAGGGGGCCAUCCCGGCUUACCAACCCGAUGCAAACUGCGAAUACCGGAGAAUGUUAUCACGGGAGACACACGGCGGGUGCUAACGUCCGUCGUGAAGAGGGAAACAACCCAGACCGCCAGCUAAGGUCCCAAAGUCAUGGUUAAGUGGGAAACGAUGUGGGAAGGCCCAGACAGCCAGGAUGUUGGCUUAGAAGCAGCCAUCAUUUAAAGAAAGCGUAAUAGCUCACUGGUCGAGUCGGCCUGCGCGGAAGAUGUAACGGGGCUAAACCAU
Molecule: ribosomal RNA, 849 nt
Filed under: Salmonella enterica
Lineage: Bacteria; Pseudomonadati; Pseudomonadota; Gammaproteobacteria; Enterobacterales; Enterobacteriaceae
Description: partial 23S ribosomal RNA
Rfam family: Bacterial large subunit ribosomal RNA
Source: RNAcentral